CUUCCAGAGGGUAUAUGCGUCUGUUUCUUGUGUAACAUGGUGGAAGACACUAUGAUCAAUCCAUUGACGGAUUUGACCAAUAGUUUUUCGAUUUGAUUUCUUCCACUCUAACUCCUUGGCGGGAUCAGGAUUUUUACCCAUCAAUUCUAUGGGAUCAAACAAAUCUUUACAGCUUAGAAGAUUUUCCAUCCGAGGUCUCCAUA
Molecule: long non-coding RNA, 203 nt
Filed under: Nicotiana benthamiana
Lineage: Eukaryota; Viridiplantae; Streptophyta; Magnoliopsida; Solanales; Solanaceae
Description: long non-coding RNA (NBEN_LNC019096)
Source: RNAcentral